GAAAGUUAUCUGGUGAUCUGACUGUAAUAUAUCUGUUAGCUACCCCAUUGAUCCCCAGCGUUAAGUUGGCUGAUCUAGCUAGUUAACAGGUGUUCUGUUCCUCCCUCACUGCUCCCAUGUGUACCCCUCCUGAAGAUGUACACUAUCAAAGAGGACAACCUUCCCCAAUAGAGGAGAACCAGUCUUUAGUCAAGAGUAGCUGUUUUCCCCUGCUAGAACUUCCAAGCAAGUUUUCCAAAAGUAAGACUACUUACUGAUUCAAGGCAUUUAAAGAACCCAUUUUCUAACUGGCGUAAGCAGUUGCUCAGAUGUCAGGCUUA
RNAcentral lists this small nuclear RNA (320 nucleotides) under Nannospalax galili (Upper Galilee mountains blind mole rat). RNAcentral describes it as "7SK RNA (ENSNGAG00000002453.1)". It matches the Rfam family "7SK RNA". Rfam says of the family: 7SK was discovered as an abundant small nuclear RNA in the mid-70s but a possible function has only recently been suggested. Lineage: Eukaryota; Metazoa; Chordata; Mammalia; Rodentia; Spalacidae. The record is from Rfam by way of RNAcentral.